AAAUUGACGGGGACCCGCACAAGCGGUGGAUGAUGUGGAUUAAUUCGAUGCAACGCGAAAACCUUACCUACCCUUGACAUGUCCGGAAUCCCGAAGAGAUUUGGGAGUGCUCGCAAGAGAACCGGAACACAGGUGCUGCAUGGCUGUCGUCAGCUCGUGUCGUGAGAUGUUGGGUUAAGUCCCGCAACGAGCGCAACCCUUGUCAUUAGUUGCCAUCAUUUGGUUGGGCACUCUAAUGAGACUGCCGGUGACAAACCGGAGGAAGGUGGGGAUGACGCCAAGUCCUCAUGGCCCUUAUGGGUAGGGCUUCACACGUCAUACAAUGGUCGGUACAGAGGGUUGCCAACCCGCGAGGGGGAGCUAAUCCCACAAAGCCGAUCGUAGUCCGGAUCGCAGUCUGCAACUCGACUGCGUGAAGUCGGAAUCGCUAGUAAUCGUGGAUCAGCAUGUCACGGUGAAUACGUUCCCGGGUCUU
Molecule: ribosomal RNA, 475 nt
Filed under: uncultured Rhodocyclaceae bacterium
Lineage: Bacteria; Pseudomonadati; Pseudomonadota; Betaproteobacteria; Rhodocyclales; Rhodocyclaceae
Description: bacterial SSU rRNA
Rfam family: Bacterial small subunit ribosomal RNA
Source: RNAcentral